Molecule: long non-coding RNA, 1582 nt
Filed under: Salmo salar (Atlantic salmon)
Lineage: Eukaryota; Metazoa; Chordata; Actinopteri; Salmoniformes; Salmonidae
Description: lncRNA (ENSSSAG00000120870.1)
Source: RNAcentral
GAAUGAACGGUGGCAAAGGGAAACCAGAGCCAUGUCUUUAAUGAUGCAUGAGGAGUCUUGAAGCAGGCCAGAGCAGAGACAAUGCCUGGCUGGCAGCGAAAGGAGUCCUGUGACAGUGAGAGUGAGAGUGGCGGUGGAUACUUGCAACUAGAGUUGGUGCUGACACAGGUGCUACAGUUGGGUCUGACUCUGAAGGCCCAAGUUAGAUCCCGUCUGUGCCAGUCCUAGUCCCUCUGCGUGUCUAGGGCCUUAAGCGGGCAGCGGCUGGUGACCAGGUGGGGGGUCUCCUCUCCACCUGCCGAAUGAGCGCUGUCAGCAUUGGGGGGUACCACGGUCUGCGGGUGGGCUCGGCCCUGCUCAGCAUCGUGGCGGGGUGCAUCAUUAUCGGGGUGUCGAGGGAGUGUGAUGCGGAUGCCGUAGGGGGAAUCUUCCUCGGUGCGGGGGGGCUGGGCCUCCUCAUCGCUGUCUUCCCCUUCAUAAGAGCCUGGCUCAACAUUAACAACAUUCUCCCCACCUUGGGAAACUUCAGAGUGCACCCUACGCCUGCUAACCUUCCUGGCCCUGAGCAACCAGAGACACUGAAACGAGAAGCGACUCAGAGCCAGCUGAAUCUGGAGCGCUCUAAGAGCCGGAUGGGGACAUUUGUUGAUGCCGGACCGAUGGCUGAGGCCUCUGCAGAUGAGGGGACAUCCUCAGACAUGCCAGACAUCUUGUCCAGACGAAAGUUCAAGCAGACCCUCCCUGAUCCAGACCUCCCGUAAAUUGGUUAUAUAGCAGCCAGACAGCACACAUCUCUCAUGCACGCCUGCUCAGAUUUGAGUUCACCUACAAAUGGACUUCACACGUUGGUGAAUCAGAUGUUUACUUACUUCAAGAAUACAAUUCAAAAGCUACAUAGUGUGCCUUCUCAUAACUAUCCAGAGUAAUACAUAUUUUCUUCCACAAUGUCUCAUUUUAUUAGCAAUAUUAUUCUUAUCCUAGAGAGAGAGAGAGAGAGAGAGAGAGAGAGAGAAAAAGAAAACGAGAGAGAAAGAGAGAGAGAAAGCGAGAGAGAGGGAGAGAGGGAGAGAGAGGCAUAAGGCAAAGAGGUAUCAACCAAGGAUAAUCAAGUAGUGGAUAAUAACAGCUUAGCUCAUCGCACAAGAUAAUAAAAUAAUCCCAGUACACGGACUGAGAAGGCUGUUUUCUAAUGUUGAAUUGUAACUGACAUAGUGAAAAAUACACACUGAUUUCAUUUUAUAUCCCACCAGGGGCAAGUCUGGUGUUUUUUGAAGGAAGUCAAGCUAUAUUAGAUCAAAUCCAGACAGAAACAAUUAUUUUACCAGGCAACCUAAAUUAUAUAUUAGAUAAGAUUGACAGACGUAGCAAUAAAAAAGGCAAAUUCAAGGAGCCUCCAAAGAGUCUGAACAUUAUCAUCUCUACAAAUAAUUUACAGGACACCUGAAAUAGUGAAAUUGGAUCAUUCUCCGGUAUCAUGGUUAAUUACACCAACAUAAAAUACACUUAGCAACAGUAUAGUGGGGCAAAAAAGUAUUUAGUCAGCCACCAAUUGUGCAAGUUCUCCCACUUAAAAAGAUGAGAG